UGGGGAAUAUUGGACAAUGGGCGCAAGCCUGAUCCAGCAAUGCCGCGUGUGUGAAGAAGGCCUUCGGGUUGUAAAGCACUUUUAUCAGGAGCGAAACGCUGUCGGCUAAUACCCGGCGGAACUGACGGUACCUGAGGAAUAAGCACCGGCUAACUUCGUGCCAGCAGCCGCGGUAAUACGAAGGGUGCAAGCGUUAAUCGGAAUUACUGGGCGUAAAGCGUGCGUAGGCGGUUUCUUAAGUCUGCUGUGAAAUCCCCGGGCUCAACCUGGGAAUGGCAGUGGAUACUGGGAGGCUAGAGUGUGUCAGAGGGUGGUGGAAUUCCCGGUGUAGCGGUGAAAUGCGUAGAGAUCGGGAGGAACAUCAGUGGCGAAGGCGGCCACCUGGGACAACACUGACGCUGAGGCACGAAAGCGUGGGGAGCAAACAGGAUUAGAUACCCUGGUAGUCCACGCCCUAAAAGCGAUGCGAACUGGAUGUUGGUCUCAACUCGGAGAUCAGUGUCGAAGCUAACGCGUUAAGUUCGCCGCCUGGGGAGUACGGUCGCAAGACUGAAACUCAAAUGAAUUGAC
This 570-nucleotide ribosomal RNA is filed under the name uncultured bacterium. Its description in RNAcentral is "partial 16S ribosomal RNA". It matches the Rfam family "Bacterial small subunit ribosomal RNA", at positions 355 to 914 of the family's 1533-position model. The record is from RNAcentral.